This 731-nucleotide ribosomal RNA is filed under the name Peltigera esslingeri. Its description in RNAcentral is "partial 28S large subunit ribosomal RNA". It matches the Rfam family "Eukaryotic large subunit ribosomal RNA", at positions 142 to 887 of the family's 3401-position model. The record is from RNAcentral. Lineage: Eukaryota; Fungi; Ascomycota; Lecanoromycetes; Peltigerales; Peltigeraceae.
GUUGUAAUCUGCAGAGGGUGUUUCGGGUAAAGUCUGGUUUAAGUUCCUUGGAACAGGACGUCAUAGAGGGUGAGAACCCCGUCAUUGACCAAUCACCAACCCAUGUGAAACCCCUUCGACGAGUCGAGUUGUUUGGGAAUGCAGCUCUAAAUGGGUGGUAAAUUUCAUCUAAAGCUAAAUAUUGGCCGGAGACCGAUAGCGCACAAGUAGAGUGAUCGAAAGAUGAAAAGCACUUUGGAAAGAGAGUUAAAUAGUACGUGAAAUUGUUGAAAGGGAAGCGCUUGCGGCCAGACCUGUGCGUAGGUGAUCAGUUGGUAUUCUUACCAAUGCACUCACCUAAAGCCAGGCCAGCAUCGGUUUCGGCGGCGGGACAAAAGCGUGGAGAAUGUAACUCUCUCUUGGGUGAGUACUUAUAGCUCGUCAUGGAAUGCCGCCAGCCGGGACCGAGGACCGCGCUUUGGCUAGGAUGCUGGCGUAAUGGUUGCAAGCGACCCGUCUUGAAACACGGACCAAGGAGUCUAACAUCUAUGCGAGUGUUUGGGUGUAAAACCCAGGCGCGGAAUGAAAGUGAACGGAGGUGAGAACCCUUAAAGGGGGUGCACCAUCGACCGAUCCUGAUGUCUUCGGAUGGAUUUGAGUAUGAGCAUAGCUGUUGGGACCCGAAAGAUGGUGAACUAUGCCUGAACAGGGUGAAGCCAGAGGAAACUCUGGUGGAAGCUCGCAGCGGUUCU